CAGUCGAGCGGACAGAAGGGAGCUUGCUCCCGGAUGUUUAGCGGCGGACGGGUGAGUAACACGUGGGUAACCUGCCUGUAAGACUGGGAUAACUCCGGGAAACCGGAGCUAAUACCGGAUAGUUCCUUGAACCGCAUGGUUCAAGGAUGAAAGACGGUUUCGGCUGUCACUUACAGAUGGACCCGCGGCGCAUUAGCUAGUUGGUGAGGUAACGGCUCACCAAGGCGACGAUGCGUAGCCGACCUGAGAGGGUGAUCGGCCACACUGGGACUGAGACACGGCCCAGACUCCUACGGGAGGCAGCAGUAGGGAAUCUUCCGCAAUGGACGAAAGUCUGACGGAGCAACGCCGCGUGAGUGAUGAAGGUUUUCGGAUCGUAAAGCUCUGUUGUUAGGGAAGAACAAGUGCAAGAGUAACUGCUUGCACCUUGACGGUACCUAACCAGAAAGCCACGGCUAACUACGUGCCAGCAGCCGCGGUAAUACGUAGGUGGCAAGCGUUGUCCGGAAUUAUUGGG
This 517-nucleotide ribosomal RNA is filed under the name Bacillus aerius. RNAcentral's name for it is "bacterial SSU rRNA". It matches the Rfam family "Bacterial small subunit ribosomal RNA", at positions 59 to 558 of the family's 1533-position model. The record is from RNAcentral. Lineage: Bacteria; Bacillati; Bacillota; Bacilli; Caryophanales; Bacillaceae.